Molecule: long non-coding RNA, 551 nt
Organism: Pollicipes pollicipes
Lineage: Eukaryota; Metazoa; Arthropoda; Thecostraca; Pollicipedomorpha; Pollicipedidae
Exons: 3
Source: RefSeq, a predicted model, not a curated record
UGGAGCUCACUUUUCUUGCUGUCCUAAUUUGCUGGGUUUUGUGUAAGGUAUGCCCCAUCAAAAAAAGCUUGUCAUGUGAUCUCCUAAAAACAUCCAAAUUUUUAAUUCAGCUGCAGUUGCUGAGGGCAAAAGUUGUGUGUUAAAUCAUUUGCUGUAGAACUGUGCUUUGUAUAACAUUCUAAUUUAUUUCCAGAGUUGCCGGCCCCCCCCCCCCCAAUGUGUCAUCUUAAAAAGCAAGCGUUCAGUGUCCACUCCGCAUGAUGACAGAAUGGCUCAAAAUGUCGGUAGCGGCUGUCCGCAGUGUCGCCGCCUGGUGGCUGGAAGAGGUAACAGGCUCGUCACCGACGCCUGCGGGCAUGUGAAGUGUCGGUACUGCCUCCUAUCAGAAGAAGAUGGGUGUUGGUCUUGUAAAGCACCACAGGCAGAGGCGGCGGCGGUGGCCGGGCCGUACUGGAGCUGCGAGCAGCUGUGGCCGUCGCGACGUCACGAGGAGGCGGCCGGCGCCGAGCUGGAGCGCAGGCUGGGCCCGCUGCUGGUGCCAGGAUGGCGUG